AGUUUUUGGCACUUAUUAACAAGAUUACUAUCAAUAUCCCUGUGAAGACUUGUGUGGACAUCAGUUUUUAACUCAUUUAUUGUGCUCUCAGGGCGACUGGCCAAGGAGAAGCGCCCCUCUGUACAGAAGUAAAUUUGCUUUGCUGAGAAAUCCUUCAGUUGAGUGCUCAUUUUCCUUAAGACUCCAAGCUUUAGUUGCAACAAUUCUUGAUGCCUAAUGAAGGGUCUCCUAGCACAGACACCAACACUGGAGUUCCUUUCAUCAGCAUCAACCUGGAGAUCACGUCGUCAUCAAAGGGUGGAAAGAAGAAAAACUUGAGCCAGCUUAGGAAGGACCUUAUCUAGUGUUCCUGACUACUGAAACUGCAAUCUGAACAGUGGAAAGAAGCCUGGGAACCUUGCAGUGAUUGGGACUACAUCCUUUGGACCACUCAAAACCAAGGGUGGGAGCUGGACAUUUGAGAUAAUAUAGCAACUCUGAGUUCUGAUCAUCCCCAAGACUGCUGUUGCUG
Molecule: long non-coding RNA, 511 nt
Organism: Cercocebus atys (sooty mangabey)
Lineage: Eukaryota; Metazoa; Chordata; Mammalia; Primates; Cercopithecidae
Exons: 5
Source: RefSeq, a predicted model, not a curated record